GACGAACGCUGGCGGCGUGCUUAACACAUGCAAGUCGAGCGGAAGGGCCCUUUCGGGGGUCCUCGAGCGGCGAACGGGUGAGUAACACGUGAGUAAUCUGCCCUUCACUUGGGGAUAACCUCCGGAAACGGUGGCUAAUACCCGAUACGACCAUUCCUCGCAUGAGGUGGUGGUGGAAAGUUUUUCGGUGGGGGAUGUGCUCGCGGCCUAUCAGCUUGUUGGUGGGGUAAUGGCCUACCAAGGCUUCGACGGGUAGCCGGCCUGAGAGGGUGACCGGCCACACUGGGACUGAGACACGGCCCAGACUCCUACGGGAGGCAGCAGUGGGGAAUAUUGGACAAUGGGCGGAAGCCUGAUCCAGCAACGCCGCGUGAGGGAUGACGGCCUUCGAGUUGUAAACCUCUUUCACCUGUGACGAAGCGAAAGUGACGGUAGCAGGAGAAGAAGCACCGGCCAACUACGUG
This 464-nucleotide ribosomal RNA is filed under the name uncultured bacterium. RNAcentral describes it as "partial 16S ribosomal RNA". It matches the Rfam family "Bacterial small subunit ribosomal RNA", at positions 28 to 507 of the family's 1533-position model. The record is from RNAcentral.